This 895-nucleotide unclassified non-coding RNA is filed under the name Aspergillus sydowii. Its description in RNAcentral is "sequence contains ITS1, 5.8S rRNA gene, ITS2". The stretch from base 535 to 895 matches the Rfam family "Eukaryotic large subunit ribosomal RNA", at positions 1 to 358 of the family's 3401-position model. The record is from RNAcentral. Lineage: Eukaryota; Fungi; Ascomycota; Eurotiomycetes; Eurotiales; Aspergillaceae.
GAUGUAAAAGUCGUAACAAGGUUUCCGUAGGUGAACCUGCGGAAGGAUCAUUACUGAGUGCGGGCUGCCUCCGGGCGCCCAACCUCCCACCCGUGAAUACCUAACACUGUUGCUUCGGCGGGGAACCCCCUCGGGGGCGAGCCGCCGGGGACUACUGAACUUCAUGCCUGAGAGUGAUGCAGUCUGAGUCUGAAUAUAAAAUCAGUCAAAACUUUCAACAAUGGAUCUCUUGGUUCCGGCAUCGAUGAAGAACGCAGCGAACUGCGAUAAGUAAUGUGAAUUGCAGAAUUCAGUGAAUCAUCGAGUCUUUGAACGCACAUUGCGCCCCCUGGCAUUCCGGGGGGCAUGCCUGUCCGAGCGUCAUUGCUGCCCAUCAAGCCCGGCUUGUGUGUUGGGUCGUCGUCCCCCCCGGGGGACGGGCCCGAAAGGCAGCGGCGGCACCGUGUCCGGUCCUCGAGCGUAUGGGGCUUUGUCACCCGCUCGACUAGGGCCGGCCGGGCGCCAGCCGACGUCUCCAACCAUUUUUCUUCAGGUUGACCUCGGAUCAGGUAGGGAUACCCGCUGAACUUAAGCAUAUCAAUAAGCGGAGGAAAAGAAACCAACCGGGAUUGCCUCAGUAACGGCGAGUGAAGCGGCAAGAGCUCAAAUUUGAAAUCUGGCCCCUCCGGGGUCCGAGUUGUAAUUUGCAGAGGAUGCUUCGGGUGCGGCCCCUGUCUAAGUGCCCUGGAACGGGCCGUCAGAGAGGGUGAGAAUCCCGUCUUGGGCAGGGUGCCCGUGCCCGUGUGAAGCUCCUUCGACGAGUCGAGUUGUUUGGGAAUGCAGCUCAAAAUGGGUGGUAAAUUUCAUCUAAAGCUAAAUACCGGCCGGAGACCGAUAGCGCACAAGUAGAGUGAUC